Molecule: transfer-messenger RNA, 405 nt
Filed under: bacterium
Lineage: Bacteria
Also listed under: 1 other name
Description: JAAYQE01 sp012519455 Standard tmRNA
Rfam family: transfer-messenger RNA
About the family: Bacterial tmRNA, also known as 10Sa RNA or SsrA, is named for its dual tRNA and mRNA-like properties. Its role is to liberate the mRNA from a stalled ribosome.
Source: RNAcentral
GGGGGUGUACUGGUUUCGACGGGGGACAUUGAUGGCAGUGGUAGCGAGUCGGGAUCCCACUAGCCCGUAAUACGGUGGAAAAUUUAUAACUGCAAACGAAAAUUACGCAUUAGCUGCUUAAAGGCAGCUACGUCCUGCCUGGGUUCGCCUGUGAUUCAGGGCCAGGGCGUCAUUUAGCAGGCUAGCCAGCAGCCAAUUCUCGGAGGCUGUAAGGCAAAAGCUAUCGAGAUAGCUCCAGCGUAGCCCGUCUGUGGGCGGCGUAACCAACCUUCCGGUUGGAGGAGGCUUUAGGUCAAACGUACCGAAAAGUCAAAGUGGAGCGAAAUACUAAUACGCAGACUGCACUCGGAGAAGCUGCUGUGGUCAGUCUUUCGGACAGGGGUUCGACUCCCCUCACCUCCACCA